This 1419-nucleotide ribosomal RNA is filed under the name Microtrichalus sp. A00397. RNAcentral describes it as "SSU rRNA". It matches the Rfam family "Eukaryotic small subunit ribosomal RNA", at positions 1 to 1344 of the family's 1831-position model. The record is from RNAcentral. Lineage: Eukaryota; Metazoa; Arthropoda; Insecta; Coleoptera; Lycidae.
GACAACCUGGUUGAUCCUGCCAGUAGUCAUAUGCUUGUCUCAAAGAUUAAGCCAUGCAUGUCUCAGUACAAGCCAAAAUAAGGUGAAACCGCGAAAGGCUCAUUAAAUCAGUUAUGGUUCCUUAGAUCGUACCAACAUUUACUUGGAUAACUGUGGUAAUUCUAGAGCUAAUACAUGCAAACAGAGCUUCGACCGGAGACGGAAGAGGCGCUUUUAUUAGAUCAAAACCAAUCGGCGGCGGGUUCGCUCGCGGGCUCGUCGUCGUUUUCACUGACGAAUCUGAAUAACUUUCUGCUGAUCGCACGGUCUCGCACCGGCGACGCAUCUUUCAAAUGUCUGCCUUAUCAACUGUCGAUGGUAGGUUCUGUGCCUACCAUGGUUGUAACGGGUAACGGGGAAUCAGGGUUCGAUUCCGGAGAGGGAGCCUGAGAAACGGCUACCACAUCCAAGGAAGGCAGCAGGCGCGCAAAUUACCCACUCCCGGCACGGGGAGGUAGUGACGAAAAAUAACGAUACGGGACUCAUCCGAGGCCCCGUAAUCGGAAUGAGAACAAUUUAAAUCCUUUAACGAGGAUCAAUUGGAGGGCAAGUCUGGUGCCAGCAGCCGCGGUAAUUCCAGCUCCAAUAGCGUAUAUUAAAGUUGUUGCGGUUAAAAAGCUCGUAGUCGAAUCUGUGUCCCGCGCCGCCGGUUCGUCGCUCGCGGCGUUUAACUGGCGUGUCCGCGGGACGUCCUGCCGGUGGGCUUAGCCUUUUCAUUAAGGCGGCCCAAUCUUAAUCCCGCCGCGGUGCUCUUCACCGAGUGUCGAGGCGGGCCGGCACGUUUACUUUGAACAAAUUAGAGUGCUUAAAGCAGGCUAAAACUUCGCCUGAAUACUUCGUGCAUGGAAUAAUGGAAUAGGACCUCGGUUCUAUUUUGUUGGUUUUCGGAACCCCGAGGUAAUGAUUAAUAGGAACGGAUGGGGGCAUUCGUAUUGCGACGUUAGAGGUGAAAUUCUUGGAUCGUCGCAAGACGGACAGAAGCGAAAGCAUUUGCCAAAAACGCUUUCAUCGAUCAAGAACGAAAGUUAGAGGUUCGAAGGCGAUCAGAUACCGCCCUAGUUCUAACCAUAAACUAUGCCAGCUAGCGAUCCGCCGAAGUUACUUCUAUGACUCGGCGGGCAGCUUCCGGGAAACCAAAGCUUUCGGGUUCCGGGGGAAGUAUGGUUGCAAAGCUGAAACUUAAAGGAAUUGACGGAAGGGCACCACCAGGAGUGGAGCCUGCGGCUUAAUUUGACUCAACACGGGAAACCUCACCAGGCCCGGACACCGGAAGGAUUGACAGAUUGAGAGCUCUUUCUUGAUUCGGUGGGUGGUGGUGCAUGGCCGUUCUUAGUUGGUGGAGCGAUUUGUCUGGUUAAUUCCGAUAACGAACGAGACUCA